This 70-nucleotide transfer RNA is filed under the name Soriculus nigrescens (Himalayan shrew). RNAcentral's name for it is "tRNA-Lys". It matches the Rfam family "tRNA". Rfam says of the family: Transfer RNA (tRNA) molecules are approximately 80 nucleotides in length. The record is from RNAcentral. Lineage: Eukaryota; Metazoa; Chordata; Mammalia; Eulipotyphla; Soricidae. RNAcentral also lists the same sequence under 1 other name.
CAUCAAGAAGCUAAAUCUCAGCGUUAACCUUUUAAGUUAAAGAUUGGAAGAUUAAAUCUACCCUUGAUGG